This is an RNA transcript of Cannabis sativa, 2812 nucleotides long. It is a transcript of the gene named GPI mannosyltransferase 1, with no coding region annotated. NCBI's taxonomy places the organism in Eukaryota, Viridiplantae, Streptophyta, Magnoliopsida, Rosales, Cannabaceae. The transcript has 6 exons. The record is from RefSeq and is a predicted model, not a curated record.
UCUCUAUCUUUCUUCUGUGACUAACUCAUCACAGGUACCCUAACCUCGUUCACUGCUGAUCGGAGAGGGGGAAUUCCGUUUGCCUUCAUUACCACCUGCGCUUCCUCAUUGCUCGGAUAAACAAUUACUUUACUCACAGUCUCAUUCAGACCAAUGGCCUUCGUGAGCUUUACCACGCUCAUCAUUGUCUCAGCAAUAUUUAGGAUUAUUCUAAUCUUAUAUGGAGAAUGGCAAGAUACACACAUGGAGGUUAGGUACACAGAUGUUGAUUACUUCGUCUUCUCAGAUGCUGCUUCUCUAAUGGCAUCUGGGAACUCUCCCUUUCAGAGAUCCACUUAUAGAUACUCCCCUUUGCUCGCUUUUUUGCUGAUGCCCAAUUCUUUUAUCCAUCGGUCAUGGGGAAAAUUCAUCUUCUCAGCUUCAGAUUUGCUUGUGGGUUUCUUCAUACGUACUAUUUUGAAGAUGCGUGGGGUGCCUGAGAAUCUAUGUAUUGUUUCUGUGGUUUCUUGGCUCUUUAACCCUUUCACCUUUACUAUUGGGACUCGUGGAAACUGUGAGCCGAUUGUCUGCGCCAUGAUUCUUUGGAUCAUUAUAUGUCUCAUGAACGGACGUGUUUUUCAAGCUGCACUUUGGUAUGGCCUAGUUGUUCACUUUAGAAUCUACCCCAUUAUAUACGCACUUCCCAUUCUUCUGAUUCUUGACCCACAAGCCUUUCAAUCUGGUCGUCGGCCUGCUCUUCAAAGCUGGAGUCAUAUUGAACAGAAGUCAUCUCAACAAUCAUGUAUUACAAGAAUGGCUCAUUUGAUACAUCCGUGGUUCCUUAUGAAAAGUGUACUAACGAAGGAGAGAAUACUUUUUGGCUUAAUUUCGGGGUCUGUGUUCUUUUCCUGUACGGCUUUUUUCUUUUGUUUGUACGGGUGGGAUUUUCUGCAUGAGGCCCUGCUAUAUCAUCUUACCCGUACAGAUCCAAGGCACAACUUUUCUGUUUAUUUUUACCACAUCUACCUUCAGUAUGACCGUGAGCUCAUGAUAGCAGAGAAGCUCAUCUCAUUUUUGCCUCAGUUUUUAGUUCAGCUUGUACUUAUUUCAAGUUUUGCUGAAGACCUCCCGUUUUGCUUCUUUGUACAGACUGUGGCAUUUGUGGCAUUUAAUAAGGUGAUUACAGCACAGUACUUUGUAUGGUUCUUCUGUCUGUUGCCACUGUUGCUGCCUUGGAGCAGCAUAAGACUUAAAUGGAAAGGCCUUUCAUGCAUAAUCAUAUGGGUAGGAGCUCAGCUUCAUUGGUUGAUGUGGGGGUAUUUGCUUGAGUUUAAGGGGAAGAAUGUUUUUCUUCAACUAUGGAUGGCCAGUAUCUUCUUUCUGGCUGCAAAUACAUACCUUCUUGUUUCAGUUAUUCGCAAUCACAGGUACUCUCCUGUUUUCACUCAGUUGGGAACUACUAAAGAUGAUACAAGGAAAAUCAAAUGAUGGAAUAAUCUGAAUCUUCGAAGAGUUACAUGGGCUUUCAUAUUCUCUCUGUACUAAUAUUGGUGUGAAGAAGAAACUAAGUCUUUUUCAGGAGAAAGGGAUCUAAGGCGGUGUGCAGAGCAUGCAUAAGAAGCAGAAAGUAAAGUAUUACUCCAAUAAAACCAGCAACUAGAGCUCCUUUUACGUGGUCGCAAUAGUUUUGAACUUGGCUACAUAUCGGCAGCCAACCUGCGUAAGUGUUUCCUUUCUUUCCCACAUAAGCUAUCGCUAAAGCUGCUGAAAUGCUUGAGCUGAGCAACAUCGCAAAAACCUGACCGAAUGAAUAAAAUUUAAACAGUAAGUUGUAGAACUUUUUAUUUUGAUUUUAAAUUUGAAAGUUCAUCAAGGGGUUAUAAAUCUAAACAUUAGUCACAGUAUUUGGGAUUCUCUCUAGCUAUCAAACCCAUCUUAUUAUGCUGCAUGAAGUUUGUGAGAACAUCUAAAAGUUCUUCAAUUAGGAUAUUGAUUCAUCACAACAAUUAAAUUAUAGAAUGUUUCAAGUAUAACACAAUUUGAAGUGAAAAGGCAGGUGAUGGCAACUUUACCAAAUCCAUGGCAAUUACUAGACGCCAAAGCAAACUUUCUGAAGGGAGGAAAAUAACCAGAAACCCAUAAACACUGACAAUGGCAUUUGCAAUCAUGAAGUACCUAUAAACCAGUGUUGUUAGCAAACAAAUAAAUAAUAAAGAAAAAAGUAGCUAUCUAGCCAUUAAUAAGAUUUGAAGAUAUGCUAGAAUUCUUACUUAAAGGCAGGUGUUUGUGAGUAUUUGGCCUCAAAAGAGAUGGUUAAGAAGCUGGCCUUCUCAUGGCUUGUAGCCAUGACAAUGGUGGCGGAAAGGGUAGCAGCGAACGCAGCAAGCCUCAAUAUAAUCAGGCCAAGCCUCUUGAUCUUGGCCAUGGCUACUACAAAAUGGAAAUGCAAUACGUUAAGAUAAGAGAUGAAAGAAAUGGGGUUAAAGUAAUAAAGUAGAUGAAUGAAGACAAUGGUAGGGAUUGGUAAGCAAGCACUAAAAACAGUUUAGUGAGCAGGUAUUGUUAGGAGGGAAAUCUUGGAGGGUAGGAUGGUGCACUUGUAUUUUAGUAUUUUCUUUGAACUUUUGUUUAGUUAGUUGAAAUUCUCCAACUGCCUGCCACCACCUCCACCACCGGUUCUGUCCCGAAGUGUUUAUUUUCCACUUUUUUCAAGCUGUUAGAUGUUGAGUAAUUGAGCUAUCUUAUUUGUAAUAUUUCCUGAUUUAGGUAGAGUAACCUUAAGUGAUGUUUCCAAAAAUUGACUGUAUGCUUGAUUGAACUUCUUUCUUCAAAA